This 253-nucleotide ribosomal RNA is filed under the name uncultured bacterium. RNAcentral's name for it is "partial 16S ribosomal RNA". It matches the Rfam family "Bacterial small subunit ribosomal RNA", at positions 524 to 776 of the family's 1533-position model. The record is from RNAcentral.
UACGAAGGGUGCAAGCGUUACUCGGAAUUACUGGGCGUAAAGCGUGCGUAGGUGGUGAUUUAAGUCAGAUGUGAAAGCCCUGGGCUCAACCUGGGAACUGCAUUUGAUACUGGGUCACUAGAGUGCGGUAGAGGAUAGCGGAAUUCCUGGUGUAGCAGUGAAAUGCGUAGAGAUCAGGAGGAACAUCCUUGGCGAAGGCGGCUAUCUGGGCCAGCACUGACACUGAGGCACGAAAGCGUGGGGAGCAAACAGG